UACGAAGGGGGCUAGCGUUGUUCGGAAUUACUGGGCGUAAAGCGCGCGCAGGCGGCUAUCCAAGUCAGUGGUGAAAGCCCGGAGCUCAACUCCGGAACUGCCAUUGAAACUGUUUAGCUUGAGGACGAGAGAGGUGAGUGGAAUUCCCAGUGUAGAGGUGAAAUUCGUAGAUAUUGGGAAGAACACCGGUGGCGAAGGCGGCCUGCUGGGCUAUGGCUGACACUGAGGCGCGACAGCGUGGGGAGCAAACAGG
Molecule: ribosomal RNA, 253 nt
Filed under: uncultured bacterium
Lineage: Bacteria
Description: partial 16S ribosomal RNA
Rfam family: Bacterial small subunit ribosomal RNA
Source: RNAcentral